GGGAGGCCCGCGGUGACGGCGUCCGGCUGCGCCGGCCGUGCGGGAGUUAGGGGCGGGGGGAGCCGGGGAGUGGGCUCAGCGGCCGCGACCCCGGCGGCCUCCGCGGGCGGCCCCCUUGUGAGUGUUAGAGUCCGUCUUACGCUGGAGAGAAGGUGGAAGGCUGGACGGAACUGGCCAGGGGCUUUCCUCCCCUUGCGGCUCAGGUCGGCCCGGCUCCGGCGCCUCCGCCUCCGCCUCCCGGGACUCCGAGCGUGGGCCUUUCCCGGGCCUAGAGACGAGGAGUAGAAUGCCGUGUUUUAAGACUGAGUCAUUCAUCUGUUGAGCAUCAACAAGCUGGCGACAUCAUGGUCUACAGGACCGGCAAGCGCCCUGCCGCAUGGGCUGCUCUGCCUUAUUUGUAGACUGAAGAGGGUGUGCCAAAGCUGGAGAUGCAGUCGCAAUCUGCUGUGUAGUUAGAAGAGGAGCCCUAGCAUUAACACUCCUCAAGGGAAGCUUAUGUUCCGGAGGCUUCCAUGCAGCUAAGGAAUCGUUGAACACUCCGUGAGAAACUUAGGGUGUGCUGUAUGCUGGCUAACGGAACGUAGUAAAUACAUAAAGAAAAGCCUCCGAUAAGAGAUAGCUGCAGAAAUGCUGGCUCUUCGCGGAGGUUCUGCUUUUCCUGGGUGGUCUGCUGAGCUGCUGCUUCUGCUGUGCUCCCAUGGACCACGCACAUGCCUUUCCC
Mustela lutreola (European mink) is the source of this 721-nucleotide long non-coding RNA. RefSeq lists it as uncharacterized. The transcript is spliced from 3 exons. The record is from RefSeq and is a predicted model, not a curated record. NCBI's taxonomy places the organism in Eukaryota, Metazoa, Chordata, Mammalia, Carnivora, Mustelidae.